GACGAACGCUGGCGGCGUGCUUAACACAUGCAAGUCGAACGAAGUGGCGAACGGGUGAGUAACGCGUAAUCAACCUGCCCUUCAGAGGGGGACAACAGUUGGAAACGACUGCUAAUACCGCAUACUGAAGGAGGGGAGUGCGUCUGAUUAGCUAGUUGGAGGGGUAACGGCCCACCAGGGCGAUGAUCAGGAGACGGUCUGAGAGGAUGACGGGCCACAUUGGGACUGAGAACCGGCCCAGAAGCCGUCGGGAGGCAGCCGUGGGGAAUCUUCCGCAAUGGACGAAAGUCUGACGGAGCAACGCCGCGUGAGUGAUGACGGCCUUCGGGUUGUAAAGGUCUGUUAGUCGGGACGCGGUACCGAAAUAGAAAGCCACGGCUAACUACGUGCCAGCAGCCGCGGUAAUAC
This 408-nucleotide ribosomal RNA is filed under the name uncultured bacterium. RNAcentral describes it as "partial 16S ribosomal RNA". It matches the Rfam family "Bacterial small subunit ribosomal RNA", at positions 28 to 526 of the family's 1533-position model. The record is from RNAcentral.